This 385-nucleotide ribosomal RNA is filed under the name uncultured bacterium. RNAcentral's name for it is "bacterial SSU rRNA". It matches the Rfam family "Bacterial small subunit ribosomal RNA", at positions 29 to 412 of the family's 1533-position model. The record is from RNAcentral.
AAUGAACGCUGGCGGCGUGCCUAACACAUGCAAGUCGGAUGUGCCCGCAAGGGUGCAUGGCAGACGGGUGAGUAACGCGUGGGAAACCUACCUCUUUGUGGGGAAUAACGCUCCGAAAGGAGUGGUAAUACCGCAUGAGACCAUGGACUGGGAUGUUCAUGGUGAAACCUGGGGACCGCAAGGCCUGGGGGCAAGGAGAGGGUCCUGCGUCUGAUUAGCUAGUUGGUGGGUAACGGCCUACCAAGGCGACGAUCAGUAGCCGGCCUGAGAGGGUGAUCGGCCACACUGGAACUGAGACACGGUCCAGACUCCUACGGGAGGCAGCAGUGGGGAAUUUUGCGCAAUGGGCGAAAGCCUGACGCAGCAACGCCGCGUGGGUGAUGAA